CCCAUUAAGCAUGGUAGGCACUUGGG
RNAcentral lists this non-coding RNA (26 nucleotides) under Rattus norvegicus (Norway rat). The record is from RNAcentral. Lineage: Eukaryota; Metazoa; Chordata; Mammalia; Rodentia; Muridae.